This 29-nucleotide small RNA is filed under the name Bombyx mori (domestic silkworm). RNAcentral describes it as "ovarian small RNA-18222". Lineage: Eukaryota; Metazoa; Arthropoda; Insecta; Lepidoptera; Bombycidae. The record is from RNAcentral.
UAAACUCGACAUUGACUCCACGGAGACUG